CAGUAGCCGCGGUAAAACGAACCGUGCGAACGUUAUUCGGAAUUACUGGGCUUAAAGCGCGUGUAGGCGGCUCGGCACGUCGGACGUUGAAAGCCCCCGGCUCAACCGGGGAAGUGGCGCCGAUACGGCCGAGCUGGAGGGAGGUAGGGGGGUCUGGAACUUCCGGUGAGCGGUGAAAUGCGUUGAGAUCGGAAGGAACGCCCGUGGCGAAAGCGAGGCCCUGGACCUUUUCUGACGCUGAGACGCGAAAGCCAGGGGAGCGAACGGGAUUAGAUACCCCGGUAGUCCCUGUCUCUUAUAC
This 301-nucleotide ribosomal RNA is filed under the name uncultured bacterium. Its description in RNAcentral is "partial 16S ribosomal RNA". It matches the Rfam family "Bacterial small subunit ribosomal RNA", at positions 509 to 807 of the family's 1533-position model. The record is from RNAcentral.